This 256-nucleotide ribosomal RNA is filed under the name uncultured bacterium. RNAcentral describes it as "partial 16S ribosomal RNA". It matches the Rfam family "Bacterial small subunit ribosomal RNA", at positions 521 to 776 of the family's 1533-position model. The record is from RNAcentral.
UAAGACAGAGGGUGCAAACGUUGUUCGGAUUUACUGGGCGUAAAGCGUGUGUAGGCGGCUUCGCAAGUUGGAUGUGAAAUCCCACGGCUCAACCGUGGACGUGCAUCCAAAACUGCGUCGCUAGAGUCUCGGAGAGGAAGGUGGAAUGCUUGGUGUAGAGGUGAAAUUCGUAGAUAUCAAGCAGAACACCUGCGGCGAAGGCGGCCUUCUGGACGAUGACUGACGCUGAGACACGAAAGCGUGGGGAGCAAACAGG